UGAGGAAAAGAAACUAACAAGGAUUCCCCUAGUAACGGCGAGUGAAGCGGGAAAAGCUCAAAUUUGUAAUCUGGCACCUUCGGUGUCCGAGUUGUAAUCUCGAGAAGUAUUUUCCGCACUGGACCGCACACAAGUCUGUUGGAAUACAGCGUCAUAGUGGUGAGAACCCCGUAGAUGGUGCGGACGGCCCAGUGCUUUGUGAUAUGCUUUCAAAGAGUCGAGUUGUUUGGGAAUGCAGCUCAAAUUGGGUGGUAAAUUCCAUCUAAAGCUAAAUAUUGGCGAGAGACCGAUAGCGAACAAGUACCGUGAGGGAAAGAUGAAAAGCACUUUGGAAAGAGAGUUAACAGUACGUGAAAUUGUUGGAAGGGAAACGCUUGAAGUCAGACUUGCAUUUUGGAGUUCAGCCGCAAGGUGUAUUCUUCAAUUCGCAGGCCAGCAUCAGUUUUUGGGGGUGGAAAAGCGCGGUUUGAAGGUAGCAGCUCCGCGGCUGUGGUAUAGCUUUCCGCUGGAUUCACUUUUGCGGACUGAGGAACGCAGUACGCUUUUUGCAAGAUUCUAGAGUCUUUCGUACUUAGGAUGCUGGUGGAAUGGCUUUAAACGACCCGUCUUGAACC
RNAcentral lists this ribosomal RNA (614 nucleotides) under Kalmanago commelinae. Its description in RNAcentral is "partial large subunit ribosomal RNA". It matches the Rfam family "Eukaryotic large subunit ribosomal RNA", at positions 52 to 660 of the family's 3401-position model. Lineage: Eukaryota; Fungi; Basidiomycota; Microbotryomycetes; Microbotryales; Microbotryaceae. The record is from RNAcentral.